This is a small nuclear RNA of Callithrix jacchus (white-tufted-ear marmoset), 75 nucleotides long. The record is from Ensembl. NCBI's taxonomy places the organism in Eukaryota, Metazoa, Chordata, Mammalia, Primates, Cebidae.
GUGCUCGCUUUGGCAGCACAUAUACUAAAAAAUUGGAACAAUACAGAGAAGAUUAGCAUGGCCCUGUGCAAAGAU